GGUUAGGUUAACCUGUGGAGAUAAGGGGAUCAAGGAUUUGGUGGAACACAUUUGGCAGAAUCAUCUUAAAAAUACAGUUGGUAAAGUUUCUAGUAAAGACCACGAUAAGGUAUUGUUAUAAAUAGAUAUCUGACUAGUAGUUUCAAGACUCUGAUGCCUUAGCGUAGGCAAUACUAGAGUGAGAGCACAAGCAGGCAGAGUGGUAGGCAGAGGGAGAGGG
Molecule: long non-coding RNA, 220 nt
Organism: Zalophus californianus (California sea lion)
Lineage: Eukaryota; Metazoa; Chordata; Mammalia; Carnivora; Otariidae
Exons: 3
Source: RefSeq, a predicted model, not a curated record